AGCAUUCACAUAAUCUAAUGUGAAAAUAGUAAAAAAAUAAAAUUACCAUAACUUAAUGUCAUAAAUCAAUUUUUAAUAACUAAAAUUCAUAAUCAAUUAGCAUGUAAUAAAAAUCACAAAUCAAAUUCAUAAUUUUUUUUUUAUAAAUGUUUUCAUUUGAUAAAGUUAAAGAUUAAUAUGUUCGGUAAAAAAAAAAAAGAGUUCAAGUGAAAGAAGAGGACAUGAAUAUUUUUG
Molecule: long non-coding RNA, 234 nt
Filed under: Prunus persica (peach)
Lineage: Eukaryota; Viridiplantae; Streptophyta; Magnoliopsida; Rosales; Rosaceae
Description: long non-coding RNA (PPER_LNC001220)
Source: RNAcentral